GCCAGCGUGACGGAAUUGGUAGACGUAUCGCUACAGCGAUCCUCGCCGUUAGGCGAAGGUGCGGGUUCGAUCCCCUGCCGCUGGCA
Molecule: transfer RNA, 86 nt
Filed under: Sphingobium sp. YR768
Lineage: Bacteria; Pseudomonadati; Pseudomonadota; Alphaproteobacteria; Sphingomonadales; Sphingobiaceae
Description: tRNA_Ile_TAT
Rfam family: tRNA
About the family: Transfer RNA (tRNA) molecules are approximately 80 nucleotides in length.
Source: RNAcentral